AAAUUUAGGAUAAAUAAACCAAGGGCCUUCAAAGCCCCAAACAGAGGAAUCUACCCUCUAACCUCUG
RNAcentral lists this transfer RNA (67 nucleotides) under Phelsuma rosagularis. RNAcentral's name for it is "tRNA-Trp". The record is from RNAcentral. Lineage: Eukaryota; Metazoa; Chordata; Lepidosauria; Squamata; Gekkonidae.